AACGAACGCUGGCGGCAUGCCUAACACAUGCAAGUCGAACGAGACCUUCGGGUAUAGUGGCGCACGGGUGCGUAACGCGUGGGAACCUGCCCUUAGGUUCGGAAUAACUCCCCGAAAGGGGUGCUCAUACCGGAUAAUGUCUUCGGACCAAAGAUUUAUCGCCUUUGGAUGGGCCCGCGUUGGAUUAGCUUGUUGGUAGGGUAAAAGCCUACCAAGGCGACGAUCCAUAGCUGGUCUGAGAGGAUGAUCAGCCAAACUGGGACUGAGACACGGCCCAGACUCCUACGGGAGGCAGCAGUGGGGAAUAUUGGACAAUGGGCGAAAGCCUGAUCCAGCAAUGCCGCGUGAGUGAUGAAGGCCUUAGGGUUGUAAAGCUCUUUUACCCGGGAUGAUAAUGACAGUACCGGGAGAAUAAGCUCCGGCUAACUCCGUG
RNAcentral lists this ribosomal RNA (433 nucleotides) under uncultured bacterium. Its description in RNAcentral is "partial 16S ribosomal RNA". It matches the Rfam family "Bacterial small subunit ribosomal RNA", at positions 29 to 507 of the family's 1533-position model. The record is from RNAcentral.